Molecule: small nuclear RNA, 150 nt
Rfam family: U12 minor spliceosomal RNA
About the family: Although the U12 sequence is very divergent from that of U2, the two are functionally analogous.
Source: Rfam
GUGCCUUAAACUAAUGAGUAAGGAAAAUAUCGAGCUUUGGUAACGCUUAGCUAUGCUCAAGAUUAAGCGAACCAAUUUUUGAAGAGGCCCAGGUCGUCCCAGGGCUGUGCGAACUACUUUUUCGCGCGGUCGGGUGAAGCGAUCUGCCUC